Pan troglodytes (chimpanzee) is the source of this 148-nucleotide non-coding RNA. It matches the Rfam family "Metazoan signal recognition particle RNA". Rfam says of the family: The signal recognition particle (SRP) is a universally conserved ribonucleoprotein. The record is from Rfam. Lineage: Eukaryota; Metazoa; Chordata; Mammalia; Primates; Hominidae.
GCCAGGCAUGGUGGUGCAUGCCUGUAGUCUCAGCUACUUGGAAGGCUGAGGCAGGAGGAUUGCUUGAGCCCAGGAAGUUGAGGCUGCAGUGAGAUAUGAUUACACCACUGCACUCCAGCCUGGGUGACAGAGCAAGACCCUGUCUCAA